GUGACCUACGGGAGGCAGCAGUGGGGAAUAUUGGGCAAUGGGCGCAAGCCUGACCCAGCGACGCCGCGUGAGGGAAGACGGUCUUCGGAUUGUAAACCUCUUUCAGCAGGGAAGACAAAAGGACGGUACCUGCAGAAGAAGCCACGGCUAACUACGUGCCAGCAGCCGCGGUAAUACGUAGGUGGCAAGCGUUAUCCGGAUUUACUGGGUGUAAAGGGCGUGUAGGCGGGAGUGCAAGUCAGAUGUGAAAACUAUGGGCUCAACCCAUAGCCUGCAUUUGAAACUGUACUUCUUGAGUGCUGGAG
Molecule: ribosomal RNA, 305 nt
Filed under: uncultured bacterium
Lineage: Bacteria
Description: bacterial SSU rRNA
Rfam family: Bacterial small subunit ribosomal RNA
Source: RNAcentral